GCGACUUCCACUGGCUGUAAGCCAUCAAAGCUUUGCAUGCGUGAGGCCGGGUUGAUGUUGACUUAAUCAAUCUCCCUGCUGGCGAGGACUUCCUACAGUUAAACACACAUGUCUGGUUAUCAAAGACUCAUGUAGGAUGGUCCCGAGCUCCAAACCAUGGAGGCAGUGGCCUCUUCUCUGUCUCUGUUGAAAAUGUUAAGCACGAAGGAAAGCAGCUGCAUCACCACAAACGCCAAGGAGAAGCACACGAAUGAAUCUGGGUUUCCAUUUUGAAGUUAUAGCUACU
Triticum dicoccoides is the source of this 286-nucleotide long non-coding RNA. RefSeq lists it as uncharacterized. The record is from RefSeq and is a predicted model, not a curated record. The transcript has 4 exons. NCBI's taxonomy places the organism in Eukaryota, Viridiplantae, Streptophyta, Magnoliopsida, Poales, Poaceae.